RNAcentral lists this unclassified non-coding RNA (513 nucleotides) under Hevea brasiliensis (rubber tree). Lineage: Eukaryota; Viridiplantae; Streptophyta; Magnoliopsida; Malpighiales; Euphorbiaceae. The record is from RNAcentral.
AGCUGAACGAAGGUAAACAGAAACAUUUGAACCUGAACCUAGUCUGACAAACUCCACCGGCGUCUAACAACCCAAAGUGGAGUGCAAAGAGAAACAAUUUAGAAGUAAUAUACAAGAGAAAACUGAACUUGAUAACUAACUAAAACUUCCAAGGAAGACCUACUUGUAAUGUUCUAAGACGGAAUUGAAUCAGCAAAACUACCUGAACUUCAUUCGCUUAGAACCAGCAGAACUUGGACCGGAUCGGGACUUGCCAAAGUUCUUCUUUCUCCUCCUCUCAUCCUCACUGUCAGGUUCAUCUCCUUUCUCCCUAUCUGCGUUGCUUGCCUCCUUCUCCAACUCUUCCCAUGUUUUGCCUUUUUCUUCCUCCGAGUCUUCAUCUGAGUCUUCCUCUUCUUCCUCGGAAUCCACCAGAGAUUCACUAUCAGAGGCUUCGUCUUCUGAAUCUGACUCAGGUUCAGCGUCUGAGGGUUCAUAGCCUUGGUCUGACUCCUCCGAAUUUUCAGAUUCUGA